UGGGAUAAUACUUUUGGAUAGUUAAGUUAGAAAAAAAUAUUCGCCAAUAGAGACUUAAAAAAAAAGUCCCACCGAUACUCUUUCUCUUCUUCUCCUCCGCCACAUAGCAACGAAAUUAACAAGAGGAGGAUGACCAGAAGUUGUGAACGGAUCAAACCUCAGUUGGGUCAGAUCGAGGAAGAAACCCAACGACUCUCCACCAUCCGCGAUAGGUGAACCCACGGCGGAGCUUCUCAUCUUACGUUGCAGACACGGGGAAGACAGAGGAAGAGUACGACGGGCGGUGAGAAAUAGGAGCUACAUUGGUUUGAAUAGAUGGACAGGGCUUGAGGUUGGAAGAAUCAGAUAUUUGAGAUCCUUAUGUGUAUGGGUUUGCUUGGUUUCUGCAACUCUUCCUCACAAUCUUUAGGCUUGGACAAGCAGUUCCUCGUGCGACAAGUCUAGCUGAAGGUAAUAGCAGGAGUCAAGCAAAUCUUUUGGCUUGGACUUUGUGAUUUCUCUUGCUUAACAGAUAACACGUAGGGACAAGGGGAUGACGCUUUUCAUCUCUGGUGAGAAGCGGAAUUUCUGUAUCAAACGUCACCUUGUAGCUGCUGGUCCAACAAGAAGCACUAAUCAUGUAACCUCGUACUCUGUUUCUUUAUUGUUUGCAGAUACCGUUACGACACAAAGUAUUCACUUGAUAGGUCUGUUGUUUUGUGGCUCGUUGCCGGUGUCAUAACGGAUGCUAUUAAGGAUGCUGUAGGUCGGCCUCGUCCUGACUUAUUUUGGCGUUGUUUCCCUGAUGGUAGAGGGGUAUGUUGUGCCCUGAGACAACUUAUCUAAUCGUGUAAUCCAAUGUCAUUAGGAUAAGGGUGUUCUCUGUAUUUUCAGGAAGAGAAAGAUGAGAUUGUCUGUUAUAUUAGUUGGGCUUUGUAUGUAUUUGCUUGCAGGGUUAGAGGCACGGAUAAGAGUAAUGUAUUGCACGUUUAUGUAUGUUUUAGAUGAUGGUAUAUGAAAUAAUGUAUUUUAUAAAAUUAAUGAAACAUAAAGUUUUAUUUAUA
Molecule: long non-coding RNA, 1043 nt
Organism: Raphanus sativus (radish)
Lineage: Eukaryota; Viridiplantae; Streptophyta; Magnoliopsida; Brassicales; Brassicaceae
Exons: 5
Source: RefSeq, a predicted model, not a curated record